GCCUUUCUCGACUCUCUAUCUCAUGCGGGUGUAGAUGGAUUGUUUAUCCGAGCCGUCUUUUCUGCUGCGCCACAUUCGUCGCUGCGGCGCUGAUGAGCCAAAGCAAACUUCACAGCAAGCCACUGCAUCAACCACGGGUGCCUCUAGCGAUAGCUCGUACACCACGGAGGUUCUUCUCAAAGUGGGGGUGCCAGCAUCCUUCGCUCCCGCCGACAGCUCCUCUGGCACGGCCUCGCCAACGCAGGUUUGCUACAUGUGUCCAGCAUACAUUCUGCAAGCAGGAUGCCCAGCACUGCGCGAGUUGCUGGCUGAUGCCUUUGGGGAUGACCCUGGUGGGGUGCGUGGAGUGGGCGAAAAGGCCGGCGCGAACUCCGCUGCGGCUGCCGCGCUUCGGCCAUCGCCUCCCGUGGCGGUUCCACUUCCGUUUCUCGACAAAGGUGUCUUCGAUGUGGUAGCAGUGUACUUGGAGCAUUUCCACGCGCUCGACUACACCACCUCUGCCAGCAUCGCUGCAGCCGCAGCACACUCGUCUCCGACUUUCUUGCCCUCCCCUGCUCGCGUACCGUCCUCGCUGGAGCGGCCUCUGAACUUUCAAGACCUCUACGCCCUCUCGACGUGGGAGCAUUACUACGUCUUGUGCCAACUGCUGGGGUUAGAGCGGUCGCAGGUAGACUCCCUCCGUCUGGUCGAGUGCGGGGCGUGGGUAGAUCUUCUCGGUGGUGCCGCUGCGGUACCAUUGCCGAAAGGGGAAACGCAGAAGCAGCAGCGCCAGGUGACUGUCGCACAUGAAGUUGAGCUCUCUCAGCAGCGCGCCGAGUGUUUCUCACUCGCCAAUCGUCGACGGAUGUGGUCGCGUUUGUGCCACGUGCUGGGAGCGGCCUCGCGACUUGGGAUGCCUACCUUGCGGUUUCUAUGUGCAACGGUAGCAGCUGACAUGCUCGUAGACCUCGAUGAGGCGGGCUUAGCGCGACUAAUGCAGCCGUCUGGGGAUGGCGGCAGGGGCAGCGGUAUACCUCCCUUUACGGCCCAGGCACGCGCCCAGGUGCUGGAGCGAUUUCCGUGGCUGACGCCCCGGUAGUCGCGCGAGCAGCUCCCUGCUGCCUGUAUCUUUUCUCGCUGUCCCCCCGGCUCUGUCGGCGCACGCGCGGCGGGUGCUGAAGGACGUGGUGGCGCACACAUUUAGGAGCCACCGCAAAACAUUCAAAGCAACGCACGCGUCUCUUUUUCGUUGUACAUACAUGAGCGAAGCGAAGGGGGGUGGGCAUUCCACCUCGCCGGACGUAAGCGCAGAUCGACCGAAUAGCCGGAACAGCAUUG
Molecule: unclassified non-coding RNA, 1317 nt
Filed under: Leishmania donovani
Lineage: Eukaryota; Euglenozoa; Kinetoplastea; Trypanosomatida; Trypanosomatidae
Description: gene:LdHU3.25.1000(CDS-product:hypothetical_prote in_conserved)
Source: RNAcentral